Molecule: long non-coding RNA, 2950 nt
Filed under: Homo sapiens (human)
Lineage: Eukaryota; Metazoa; Chordata; Mammalia; Primates; Hominidae
Description: HSALNT0025266
Source: RNAcentral
CACACAUUAUUUCAUUUCAUCUUCACUCAAGACCUGAGGCAGGGCAGGGACUCUUCAUCCAUUCCUUCUGUCAUUUACGUAUCCGUUCGGGAAACAUUCAUUGAGUGCUGCCCGGUCUUGACACCGAAGGCAGAGCUUUAAGACAGAGAUGACAGUCGAGUGGGAAAGGCAGACAGUGAUGGCUGCACGGUAAGCGUGGAGAGAUGUAGGUGCCAUAGGAUGGCAGAGGAGAAGCCCUGACCCUCGGGCUCAGGGGAUCAGGGGAGUCUCAUAGAAGGAGAGAAGAAAGGAGCCAGCCAGGAGGAGGACCCGUCGUGCUGAGGGACCGGCACGAGUCAAGGUGAGGAGAGUGGUGGAGUAAGGAGUAACCCAUCUAGGGCUGUAGCAUGGAAGAGGGGGUGAUCAUUUUCUUAAGAUCACUCAAAUGGUUAUGCACAGAGCUGGGACUCAAACACCCAGGUCUUGACUUCUACUCGAGCACGCUUUCCAUUCUGUGACAUUGCCUCCCUGUCUUCCCAGGUCCCCUGUCAUUAAGGAUCUGGGUCCUCUGUUGGAAAGUGUCUGAGAGACAGACCUACCGCUGACAGGAGAACAUGAGGACAGUAUUGACAUCAAGGCUAUGGCCAGACGCUAAGCUAAGCACCAUGCAUUAUCUCAUUUAAUUCUCGAAAAACCUAAUGAGGUAAGCUUCGCGUGCAUUUUACUGAUGGAGAGAAUAGAAGUCAAGCAAUGACCAGCAGUAGCUCAAAUGGAGGUAACAGCUCUGGGUUCUACUACAUUCAGAUGUUACCUAAUCGCCACUCUUCCACUGACUCCUAGAGGAAGAUACGAGAAAAAAUGUCUAGGAGAGAAGCCAAGUCCUUCCUCUGGUCAGGAAAACUUGCAGAGGCAUUUUUCACAGGUCAUUCUCCAAAUUUAUUUUAAUUUUCUUUUUUAAAAACCUUCAUUAUAUAAAUGUCUAUUUUUUAUUUUAUUAUUAUUAUUAUUAUUUUUGAGAUGGAGUCUCACUUACUCUGUCGCCCAGGCUGGAAUGCAGUGGAGGAUCUUGGCUCACUGCAACUUCUUCCUUCUGGGUUCAAGCGAUUCUCCUGCCUCAGCCUCCUGAGUAGCUGGGACUACAGACGCCCGCCACCAUGCCUGGCUAACAUUUUUGUAUUUUUAGUAGAGACGGGGUUUUGCCAUGUUGGCUAGGCCAGUCUUGAACUCCUGACCUCAAGUGAUCCGCCCGCCUCGGACUCCCAAAGUGCUGGGAUUACAGGUGUGAGCCACUGCGCCUGGACUUAUUUUUUAUUUUUUAACUGACAAGUGGAAGUUGUAUAUAUUUAUCAUGUACAACACAUUGUUUUAAAAUAUGUACACAUUGUGGAAUAGCUAGACUGAGCUAAUUAACAUAUGUAUUAUCUUACAUACUUUUUUAUGGUGAGAACACUUACAAUCUACUCUCUUAGCAGCAAUUUUCAAGGACGCGAUGCAUUGUUAUUAACGAUAUUUACAUGUUUCUCCCCCGCAGUGUCUCCAGUGGAAGAAGUGGGAAGAUGAGGUUCGGAAGGGGUGCAUUCUUUCAGCGUGCCACAGGCUUUGCAGCAAAACUCACCAGGAGCUUGAGAGUUCUCUGCAGUGUAGAUGAAAUGAGGGAGGAAUGGAGUUUACAGGGAGAAAAAUGUGGGCCGAUGUAACACUAAGGCCAAUUAGCUCAGACAAAGGGCAAAAAUGAGAGCUGGCAACCUGUCUAGUAAGAAACGUGAGCAAGGCCCUAAUGCAGGUGCUGUUCCUCAGGGUCCAACAGCUGAAGGCCACGCUUGGUUUUUACAACAUUUCUUGGGCUCCCAGCUUUUCAGAACAGCACCCGUUGUUAGAAAGACGGCUGUCCAGAGAGAGAACAUACCAGCAUAGUGGGAUCGUUGAGCAAAGCAAGAACACUGGCGGUGGAUCUCAAGCAAAGCUUUCUGGCAGAACAUCGGGCCGAAAUGAAAGCUUCGUUCCAUGUGUUUUCCACUCUGCUUCAAGCCUCUUCCAGAUGCAGGAGUCUAACAGAGUCCACAUAAACAAGAAACCAAAACAAAACGGCACAAGAUCGAAAGCUUUCCCCUUGUGAUACAACCACUUUAUGUGCAGAGAGGCGCUCACAUGAUGCUGCCAACAUGUGUUUUCUGUCUCAGAUUUCCCUUGAUAACAAAGGACAUAUUUUAGAAGGCGUGGCCCUAGGUGCAUUUGGCCAGCAGGAAUCCGAGUGGAGUUUGGGGAUUUCAUUUGGGUUUAGGCUGAUCCCCUCGGGUGCCCAGUGCUACAGCCCUUGAUGAUGUUAAACCCCAAUUAAUAAAGUUGUUAGGAACACUUUGGGUCAGGUUUGUAAGAUAUGAUCUCAUUCUACUGCUCACAGAACUGAUUUAAUAUUCAGGAAUCAACUAAGCUCAUUCAUUUCCAAAAUUGGCAGCCCUGCAUGUUGCUUCACAGUACUCCCUCUGUCCAAGGCUGGGCAGGGUAUGUUAAAAGGAAAUCUGCAGAAGAGUCUUUCAUGAUGUUCCAAGACUCAGAGAGAAGGAUGGGGGCUGGGAAACAGGCAGGGUGGACAGGUGGGAGGGACAGUAGCUCUGCCUGAGGUAUGAAUGUGAUAGACAGAGAAAGGCAAUGAUAGCUCAGAAAAACUCACGACUCUUAUUGUUAGAAAUCCCACUUCCAAAUCUAUGCAAGUUUUAAGAAGCCAGAAAUAGCUGCAUUAACAUUACCGUAUGGACUUUUUUUAAAAAGUUGCAAAUGACCAUAAAAAAUAUCAGCCAUCUCUUUUGAUGACCUUACCUAAGUGAUUUAUGAUCUUAAAAGCCUCCUCUAAAUACUGCUUUUUAAUCAAGAAAGCUUAUGUUACUCUUCCUACACAAAAUUAACCUCACUUCAGAUUUUGAAGAAAAGGCAGAUCAUAUUUUUAAAUUUCAAUUUUUCAUCUUUUAAAUAG